GAAAUUUAACGGAUUUGGCGGCAAGAUAGCCCCUUAGAGGAACCUGCCCUAUAAACGAUGAACCACGAGGGACUCUACUUUCUUUGGUAGUCAGUUUGUAUAUCGCUGUUGUCAGUUAGAUUCUUGAGAAUAUUUUCGUUUAUGAAAAGUUCAUUGACUUCAAGUAAAGGUGCAGCUUAUAAGGAAGAUAGAGGUGGGUUACAUUUAUGAGAAUAAAACGGAAAGGAUGGAUGAAACAAUCCUUGAAGGUGGAUUUAACUGUAAAACUUAAGUAGGUUUGGUGAGAGCUCUAUCUUGUGUACACACCGCCCGUC
Molecule: ribosomal RNA, 314 nt
Filed under: Tetraclita serrata
Lineage: Eukaryota; Metazoa; Arthropoda; Thecostraca; Balanomorpha; Tetraclitidae
Description: partial 12S ribosomal RNA
Rfam family: Microsporidia small subunit ribosomal RNA
Source: RNAcentral